GGCAGCUGCGGGGAGGGUCUUCUUGGGGCAUCCUUGCCCCGCCCCAGUUCGGCCGCGGCGGGAGUCGGAGCCACUUCUCUGCAGGUCUUACUGUCCGGGGCAUGAGCGGGGUUUGGGGGACCGGAGGGCCUCGGUGCCAGGCGGCGUUCGCGGUCCUGGCCUCUCUGUGCCGGGCCCGGCCGCCCCCUCUCGGACUGGACGUGGAGACUUGUCGGAGCUUCGAGCUGCAACCCCCAGAACAGAGUCCGAGCGCGGCUGACUCAGGCACCUCUGUCAGCCUCCUCGCCGUGGUAGUUAUUGUGUGUGGCGUGGCCCUGGUGGCAGUUUUUCUCUUUCUCUUUUGGAAGCUGUGCUGGACGCCCUGGAGGAACAAGGAGGCCUCCAGCCCUUCUUCUGCUAACCCAGCUUCAGAGACCCUCCAGAGCCCCAGCUCCAGAGGCAACAUGGCAGAUAAGCUGAAGGACCCCAGUGCCCUGGGCUUCCUGGAGGCAGCUGUGAAGAUCAGCCACACUUCCCCAGACAUCCCAGCCGAGGUGCAGAUGUCCGUCAAAGAGCACAUCAUGCGUCACACGAGGCUGCAGCGACAGACCACAGAACCAGCGUCAUCCACCAGGCACACAUCCUUCAAGCGCCACCUGCCACGGCAGAUGCACGUCUCCAGCGUAGACUAUGGCAAUGAGCUGCCCCCAGCUGCCGAGCAGCCCACCAGCAUCGGCCGCAUCAAGCCCGAGCUCUACAAGCAGAAGUCGGUGGAUGGGGACGAUGCCAAGUCCGAGGCCGCCAAGAGCUGCGGGAAGAUCAACUUCAGCCUCCGCUAUGACUACGAGAGUGAGACCCUGAUCGUGCGCAUCCUGAAGGCCUUUGACCUCCCUGCCAAGGACUUUUGUGGAAGCUCUGACCCUUACGUCAAGAUCUACCUCCUGCCUGACCGCAAGUGCAAGCUGCAGACCCGGGUGCACCGCAAGACCCUGAACCCCACCUUUGAUGAGAACUUCCACUUCCCCGUGCCCUAUGAGGAGCUGGCUGAUCGCAAGCUGCAUCUCAGUGUCUUUGACUUUGACCGCUUUUCCCGCCAUGACAUGAUCGGAGAGGUCAUCCUGGACAAUCUCUUUGAGGCCUCUGACCUGUCCCGGGAGACGUCCAUCUGGAAGGACAUCCAGUACGCCACUAGUGAAAGUGUGGACUUGGGAGAGAUCAUGUUCUCCCUGUGCUACCUGCCCACAGCAGGCAGGCUCACCCUCACAGUGAUCAAGUGUCGCAAUCUCAAGGCCAUGGACAUCACAGGCUACUCAGAUCCCUAUGUCAAAGUAUCCCUGCUGUGUGAUGGGCGGAGACUGAAGAAGAAGAAAACGACCAUAAAAAAGAACACCCUCAACCCCGUCUACAACGAGGCCAUCAUCUUUGACAUCCCCCCAGAGAACAUGGAUCAAGUGAGCCUGCUCAUCUCCGUCAUGGACUACGAUCGAGUUGGCCACAAUGAGAUCAUAGGCGUCUGUAGAGUGGGCAUCAAUGCCGAAGGCCUCGGCAGGGACCACUGGAAUGAGAUGCUGGCAUACCCACGGAAGCCCAUCGCACACUGGCACUCCUUGGUGGAGGUAAAGAAAUCCUUCAAAGAGGGAACCCCUCGGGUGUGAUUUCAGUCACGUGGAUGCUGCAAGCGGAGAGACAGCCGCAGGAGUUAGGAUGGCAGGGCCGAGCUGCCAGCUUCGACAGUGAGAGCUCAUGCCCUUCUCCGAAACCACCUCCGACACCAUGAGCCACACGGCCCAGCCAAUGGGACUCUGCAACGUUAUUUUCGCACUUGUUUCAGUCGGUGUUUGUGCAGUCACGGUGAUGGUAGCCGCAGCAGCCACUGCCUGCCAGCCCAUGGUCUUAACUGCUCCUGUGCAGGGCAAGGCCGAGACCCUUGUCAUGUGUGAUCAGAUCUGUCGUAGUCUUCUCUGUCUCCCAAGGUGAUGUUUUUGUGGUUUUUUCUGCUUUGUUUGGGUCUGCUGCCGAGAGA
This is an RNA transcript of Acomys russatus (golden spiny mouse), 2002 nucleotides long. It is a transcript of the gene named synaptotagmin 6, with no coding region annotated. The transcript has 8 exons. Lineage: Eukaryota; Metazoa; Chordata; Mammalia; Rodentia; Muridae. The record is from RefSeq and is a predicted model, not a curated record.